Molecule: ribosomal RNA, 2888 nt
Filed under: Acinetobacter baumannii 144107
Lineage: Bacteria; Pseudomonadati; Pseudomonadota; Gammaproteobacteria; Moraxellales; Moraxellaceae
Description: bacterial LSU rRNA
Rfam family: Bacterial large subunit ribosomal RNA
Source: RNAcentral
CAAGUAAUUAAGUGCAUGUGGUGGAUGCCUUGGCAGUCAGAGGCGAUGAAAGACGUGAUAGCCUGCGAAAAGCUCCGGGGAGGCGGCAAAUAUCCUUUGAUCCGGAGAUGUCUGAAUGGGGGAACCCACCUACUUUAAGGUAGGUAUUGCAACAUGAAUACAUAGUGUUGCAAGGCGAACGAGGGGAAGUGAAACAUCUCAGUACCCUUAGGAAAAGAAAUCAAUUGAGAUUCCCUCAGUAGCGGCGAGCGAACGGGGAUCAGCCCAUUAAGUUAUGUGUGUUUUAGUGGAACGCUCUGGGAAGUGCGAACGUAGAGGGUGAUAUUCCCGUACACGAAAGGGCACACAUAAUGAUGACGAGUAGGGCGAGGCACGUGAAACCUUGUCUGAAUAUGGGGGGACCAUCCUCCAAGGCUAAAUACUCCUGACUGACCGAUAGUGAACCAGUACCGUGAGGGAAAGGCGAAAAGAACCCCUGUGAGGGGAGUGAAAUAGAUCCUGAAACCGCAUGCAUACAAGCAGUGGGAGCACCUUCGUGGUGUGACUGCGUACCUUUUGUAUAAUGGGUCAGCGACUUAUAUUCAGUAGCAAGGUUAACCGUAUAGGGGAGCCGUAGAGAAAUCGAGUCUUAAUAGGGCGUUUAGUUGCUGGGUAUAGACCCGAAACCAGGCGAUCUAUCCAUGAGCAGGUUGAAGGUUGGGUAACACUAACUGGAGGACCGAACCCACUGUCGUUGAAAAGCCAGGGGAUGACUUGUGGAUAGGGGUGAAAGGCUAAUCAAGCCUGGUGAUAGCUGGUUCUCCCCGAAAGCUAUUUAGGUAGCGCCUCGGACGAAUACCAUAGGGGGUAGAGCACUGUUUCGGCUAGGGGGUCAUCCCGACUUACCAAACCGAUGCAAACUCCGAAUACCUAUGAGUACUAUCCGGGAGACAGACUGCGGGUGCUAACGUCCGUAGUCAAGAGGAAAACAAUCCAGACCGCCAGCUAAGGCCCCAAAAUCAUAGUUAAGUGGGAAACGAUGUGGGAAGGCAUAGACAGCUAGGAGGUUGGCUUAGAAGCAGCCACCCUUUAAAGAAAGCGUAAUAGCUCACUAGUCGAGUCGGCCUGCGCGGAAGAUGUAACGGGGCUAAAACUAUGUGCCGAAGCUGCGGAUUUGACAUUAGUCAAGUGGUAGGGGAGCGUUCUGUAAGCCGAUGAAGGUGUGUUGAGAAGCAUGCUGGAGGUAUCAGAAGUGCGAAUGCUGACGUGAGUAACGACAAAACGGGUGAAAAACCCGUUCGCCGAAAGACCAAGGGUUCCAGUCCAACGUUAAUCGGGGCUGGGUGAGUCGACCCCUAAGGCGAGGCCGAAAGGCGUAGUCGAUGGGAAAAUGGUUAAUAUUCCAUUACUUCUGUGUAAUGCGAUGAGAGGACGGAGAAGGCUAAAUCAGCCUGGCGUUGGUUGUCCAGGUGAAAGGAUGUAGGCAUGUAUCUUAGGCAAAUCCGGGGUACUCUAUGCUGAGAUCUGAUAGCAAGCUGUACUUGUACAGCGAAGUGGUUGAUGCCAUGCUUCCAGGAAAAGUCUCUAAGCUUCAGUUACACAGGAAUCGUACCCGAAACCGACACAGGUGGUCAGGUCGAGUAGACCAAGGCGCUUGAGAGAACUCUGCUGAAGGAACUAGGCAAAAUGGUACCGUAACUUCGGGAGAAGGUACGCUGUUGUUGGUGAUGGAACUCGCUUCCUGAGCUGACGACAGCCGCAGAAACCAGGCCGCUGCAACUGUUUAUUAAAAACAUAGCACUCUGCAAACACGAAAGUGGACGUAUAGGGUGUGAUGCCUGCCCGGUGCUGGAAGGUUAAUUGAUGGGGUUAGCGUAAGCGAAGCUCUUGAUCGAAGCCCCAGUAAACGGCGGCCGUAACUAUAACGGUCCUAAGGUAGCGAAAUUCCUUGUCGGGUAAGUUCCGACCUGCACGAAUGGCAUAAUGAUGGCGGCGCUGUCUCCAGCAGAGGCUCAGUGAAAUCGAAAUCGCUGUGAAGAUGCAGUGUACCCGCGGCUAGACGGAAAGACCCCGUGAACCUUUACUGCAGCUUGACACUGAACUUUGACCUUACUUGUGUAGGAUAGGUGGGAGGCUUUGAAGCUGGAACGCUAGUUCCAGUGGAGCCGUCCUUGAAAUACCACCCUGGUAAUGUUGAGGUUCUAACUCUGUCCCGUGAUCCGGGACGAGGACCGUGUCUGGUGGGUAGUUUGACUGGGGCGGUCUCCUCCUAAAGAGUAACGGAGGAGUACGAAGGUGCGCUCAGCGUGGUCGGAAAUCACGCGUAGAGUAUAAAGGCAAAAGCGCGCUUAACUGCGAGACCCACAAGUCGAGCAGGUACGAAAGUAGGUCUUAGUGAUCCGGUGGUUCUGUAUGGAAGGGCCAUCGCUCAACGGAUAAAAGGUACUCUGGGGAUAACAGGCUGAUACCGCCCAAGAGUUCAUAUCGACGGCGGUGUUUGGCACCUCGAUGUCGGCUCAUCUCAUCCUGGGGCUGAAGCAGGUCCCAAGGGUAUGGCUGUUCGCCAUUUAAAGAGGUACGCGAGCUGGGUUUAGAACGUCGUGAGACAGUUCGGUCCCUAUCUACCGUGGGCGCUGGAAAUUUGAGAGGAUCUGCUCCUAGUACGAGAGGACCAGAGUGGACGAACCUCUGGUGUACCGGUUGUGACGCCAGUCGCAUCGCCGGGUAGCUAUGUUCGGAAGGGAUAACCGCUGAAAGCAUCUAAGCGGGAAGCCUACCUCAAGAUAAGAUUUCCCUAGGACUUUAUGUCCUCUAAAGAGCCGUUCGAGACUAGGACGUUGAUAGGUUGGAUGUGGAAGCAUAGUGAUAUGUGAAGCUGACCAAUACUAAUUGCUCGUGAGGCUUGACUA